RNAcentral lists this ribosomal RNA (628 nucleotides) under Priestia megaterium. Its description in RNAcentral is "bacterial SSU rRNA". It matches the Rfam family "Bacterial small subunit ribosomal RNA", at positions 56 to 667 of the family's 1533-position model. The record is from RNAcentral. Lineage: Bacteria; Bacillati; Bacillota; Bacilli; Caryophanales; Bacillaceae.
UGCAAGUCGAGCGAACUGAUUAGAAGCUUGCUUCUAUGACGUUAGCGGCGGACGGGUGAGUAACACGUGGGCAACCUGCCUGUAAGACUGGGAUAACUUCGGGAAACCGAAGCUAAUACCGGAUAGGAUCUUCUCCUUCAUGGGAGAUGAUUGAAAGAUGGUUUCGGCUAUCACUUACAGAUGGGCCCGCGGUGCAUUAGCUAGUUGGUGAGGUAACGGCUCACCAAGGCCGAUGCAUAGCCGACCUGAGAGGGUGAUCGGCCACACUGGGACUGAGACACGGCCCAGACUCCUACGGGAGGCAGCAGUAGGGAAUCUUCCGCAAUGGACGAAAGUCUGACGGAGCAACGCCGCGUGAGUGAUGAAGGCUUUCGGGUCGUAAAACUCUGUUGUUAGGGAAGAACAAGUACAAGAGUAACUGCUUGUACCUUGACGGUACCUAACCAGAAAGCCACGGCUAACUACGUGCCAGCAGCCGCGGUAAUACGUAGGUGGCAAGCGUUAUCCGGAAUUAUUGGGCGUAAAGCGCGCGCAGGCGGUUUCUUAAGUCUGAUGUGAAAGCCCACGGCUCACCCGUGGAGGGUCAUUGGAAACUGGGGAACUUGAGUGCAGAAGAGAAAAGCGGAAU